Molecule: non-coding RNA, 57 nt
Organism: Echinops telfairi (small Madagascar hedgehog)
Lineage: Eukaryota; Metazoa; Chordata; Mammalia; Afrosoricida; Tenrecidae
Source: Rfam
UUGUUGUUCUAAAUAGGGGGCCUUUUUAUUAUGCUCUUCAUUUAUCGUUACUAAGGC